RNAcentral lists this ribosomal RNA (668 nucleotides) under uncultured bacterium. RNAcentral's name for it is "bacterial SSU rRNA". It matches the Rfam family "Bacterial small subunit ribosomal RNA", at positions 56 to 737 of the family's 1533-position model. The record is from RNAcentral.
UGCAAGUCGAACGAGAGAUGAGGAGCUUGCUCUUCAAAUCGAGUGGCGAACGGGUGAGUAACGCGUGAGGAACCUGCCUCAAAGAGGGGGACAACAGUUGGAAACGACUGCUAAUACCGCAUAAGCCCACGGCUCGGCAUCGAGCAGAGGGAAAAGGAGCAAUCCGCUUUGAGAUGGCCUCGCGUCCGAUUAGCUAGUUGGUGAGGUAACGGCCCACCAAGGCGACGAUCGGUAGCCGGACUGAGAGGUUGAACGGCCACAUUGGGACUGAGACACGGCCCAGACUCCUACGGGAGGCAGCAGUGGGGAAUAUUGCACAAUGGGGGAAACCCUGAUGCAGCGACGCCGCGUGGAGGAAGAAGGUCUUCGGAUUGUAAACUCCUGUUGUUGAGGAAGAUAAUGACGGUACUCAACAAGGAAGUGACGGCUAGCUACGUGCCAGCAGCCGCGGUAAAACGUAGGUCACAAGCGUUGUCCGGAAUUACUGGGUGUAAAGGGAGCGCAGGCGGGAGAACAAGUUGGAAGUGAAAUCCACGGGCUCAACCCAUGAACUGCUUUCAAAACUGUUUUUCUUGAGUAGUGCAGAGGUAGGCGGAAUUCCCGGUGUAGCGGUGGAAUGCGUAGAUAUCGGGAGGAACACCAGUGGCGAAGGCGGCCUACUGGGCACC